UCUAUUCACUAUGUAAUUCAAGGAGAAUGAAAUACACAUAUUUGCAUCAAUGAAAGUGAAACAAUUUGAAUCCAGAUGCUGACGACCCUCAAUUGUGCUUCUUCAUAUUUAGUGUAAAUCCAAACAGCAACGCUCCUGAGUUUGUGUCCCACGUCACCUUCAGUCCGCUCAGAGCAGAGGAAUCAUUUCCAUAGAGAGGAGGCUUUGCAUCGUCAGCUGAUCCUCCACUGAACUGAGAAGCUUUAUAGUCCUGUGACUCCAACUCUGCAGGACUCAGACCCGUCAGUCGACCACAACCACCAUGACUCUCAUCACCCUCCUCAUCUGGACGCUGGCCUGCUGCAGCUUCACAGGAUGCAGCGGCCAGAUGACUGUGACUCAGCCUCCAGUCGUGACAUUUACUCCAGAAUCCACUGUCACACUGACCUGUAACACCAACCCCAGUUUUCAUAGUAGUGUUAUGUCCUGGUACCAGCAGAAACCUGGACAGGCUCCCAAGCUUCUCAUAUACCAAACAACAGUUCUAUAUUCAGGAACUUCCUCUCGAUUCAGUGGCAGUGGCUCUGGUUCUAGCUCCACCUUAACCAUCAGCGGUGUUCAGGCUGAAGAUGUUGGAGAUUAUUACUGUGCUGGUGGUGUUGGCGAUGGAAAGUUCACACAGUGAUUUAGAGCCGUACAAAAACCUCCCUCAGUUUGACUGAAGUGAAACUGGUCUGCUGCUGCUUCACAGAGAAUAACUGGUCCAGUGAACACAACACAAGUCUUCAAGCAGAGCGACAAUGAAGCUAAACACAACUGAAACAAACUCACAGUUUUAAAUGUUCAG
Molecule: non-coding RNA, 826 nt
Organism: Platichthys flesus (European flounder)
Lineage: Eukaryota; Metazoa; Chordata; Actinopteri; Pleuronectiformes; Pleuronectidae
Source: the annotation of a RefSeq genome assembly